CACCACUCAAGCCUCGCUUGGUGUUGGGACUCGCGGUAACCCGCGUUCCCCAAAUCGAUUGGCGGUCACGUCGAGCUUCCAUAGCGUAGUAAUCAUACACCUCGUUACUGGUAAUCGUCGCGGCCACGCCGUUAAACCCCAACUUCUGAA
RNAcentral lists this unclassified non-coding RNA (150 nucleotides) under Botryosphaeria dothidea. RNAcentral's name for it is "sequence contains ITS2". The record is from RNAcentral. Lineage: Eukaryota; Fungi; Ascomycota; Dothideomycetes; Botryosphaeriales; Botryosphaeriaceae.